GUUUGUCGCGUCUGCUGUGAAAUCCCGAGGCUCAACCUCGGGCCUGCAGUGGGUACGGGCAGACUAGAGUGCGGUAGGGGAGAUUGGAAUUCCUGGUGUAGCGGUGGAAUGCGCAGAUAUCAGGAGGAACACCGAUGGCGAAGGCAGAUCUCUGGGCCGUAACUGACGCUGAGGAGCGAAAGGGUGGGGAGCAAACAGGCUUAGAUACCCUGGGUAGUCCACCCCNGUAAACGGUUGGGAACUAGUUGUGGGGUCCUUUCCACGGGAUUCCCGUGACGCAGCUAACGCAUUAAGUUCCCCGCCUGGGGAGUACGGCCCGCAAGGCUAAAACUCAAAGGAAUUGGCGGGGACCCGCACAAGCGCCGGAGCAUGCGGAUUAAUUCGAUGCAACGCGAAGAACCUUACCAAGGCUUGACAUACACGAGAACGGGCCAGAAAUGGUCAACUCUUUUGGACACUCGUGAACAGUUGGUGCAUGGUUGUCGUCAGCUCGUGUCGUGAGAUGUUGGGUUAAGUCCCGCAACGAGCGCAACCCUCGUUCUAUGUUGCCAGCACGUAAUGGUGGGAACUCAUGGGAUACUGCCGGGGUCAACUCGGAGGAAGGUGGGGAUGACGUCAAAUCAUCAUGCCCCUUAUGUCUUGGGCUUCACGCAUGCUACAAUGGCCGGUACAAAGGGCUGCAAUACCGUGAGGUGGAGCGAAUCCCAAAAAGCCGGUCCCAGUUCGGAUUGAGGUCUGCAACUCGACCUCAUGAAGUCGGAGUCGCUAGU
This 770-nucleotide ribosomal RNA is filed under the name uncultured Actinomycetes bacterium. RNAcentral describes it as "bacterial SSU rRNA". It matches the Rfam family "Bacterial small subunit ribosomal RNA", at positions 578 to 1339 of the family's 1533-position model. Lineage: Bacteria; Bacillati; Actinomycetota; Actinomycetes. The record is from RNAcentral.